Molecule: ribosomal RNA, 860 nt
Filed under: Helicotylenchus pseudorobustus
Lineage: Eukaryota; Metazoa; Nematoda; Chromadorea; Rhabditida; Hoplolaimidae
Description: SSU rRNA
Rfam family: Eukaryotic small subunit ribosomal RNA
Source: RNAcentral
AUGAAAUUCUUGGACCGUAGCAAGACGGACUACAGCGAAAGCAUUUGGCAAGAAUGUCUUCAUUAAUCAAGAACGAAAGUCAGAGGUUCGAAGGCGAUCAGAUACCGCCCUAGUUCUGACCGUAAACGAUGCCAACUAGCGAUCCGCCGGCGGAUUCAUUCGCCCUGGUGGGGAGCUUCCCGGAAACGAAAGUCUUCCGGUUCCGGGGGAAGUAUGGUUGCAAAGCUGAAACUUAAAGGAAUUGACGGAAGGGCACCACCAGGAGUGGAGCCUGCGGCUUAAUUUGACUCAACACGGGGAAACUCACCCGGCCCGGACACCGUAAGGAUUGACAGAUUGAUAGCUUUUUCAUGAUUCGGUGGAUGGUGGUGCAUGGCCGUUCUUAGUUCGUGGAGCGAUUUGUCUGGUUUAUUCCGAUAACGAGCGAGACUCUGGCCUACUAAAUAGUUGGCGCAUUGCUACUGUGCGCACAACACUUCUUAGAGGGAUUUUCGGUGUUCAGCCGCACGAAAUUGAGCAAUAACAGGUCUGUGAUGCCCUUAGAUGUCCGGGGCUGCACGCGCGCUACACUGGCAAAAUCAGCGUGCUUGUCCUUCCCCGAAAGGGGUUGGUAAACCCGUGAAAAUUUGCCGUGAUUGGGAUCGGACAUUGCAAUUAUUGUCCGUGAACGAGGAAUUCCUUGUAGGGGCGAGUCAUCAACUCGCUCUGAAUACGUCCCUGCCCUUUGUACACACCGCCCGUCGCUGCCCGGGACUGAGCCAUUUCGAGAAACUCGGGGAUUGUUGGUCUGGUUGCCUCCGGGUUGCCGUUCCUUCGAGAACCGAUUUAAUCGCAGUGGCUUGAACCGGGCAAAGUCGCCA